RNAcentral lists this ribosomal RNA (490 nucleotides) under uncultured bacterium. Its description in RNAcentral is "partial 16S ribosomal RNA". It matches the Rfam family "Bacterial small subunit ribosomal RNA", at positions 30 to 507 of the family's 1533-position model. The record is from RNAcentral.
AUUGAACGCUGGCGGCAGGCCUAACACAUGCAAGUCGAACGGUAACAGGAAGACGCUUGCUUCUUUGCUGACGAGUGGCGGACGGGUGAGUAAUGUCUGGGAAACUGCCUGAUGGAGGGGGAUAACUACUGGAAACGGUAGCUAAUACCGCAUAACGUCGCAAGACCAAAGAGGGGGACCUUCGGGCCUCUUGCCAUCGGAUGUGCCCAGAUGGGAUUAGCUAGUAGGUGGGGUAACGGCUCACCUAGGCGACGAUCCCUAGCUGGUCUGAGAGGAUGACCAGCCACACUGGAACUGAGACACGGUCCAGACUCCUACGGGAGGCAGCAGUGGGGAAUAUUGCACAAAGGGCGCAAGCCUGAUGCAGCCAUGCCGCGUGUAUGAAGAAGGCCUUCGGGUUGUAAAGUACUUUCAGCGGGGAGGAAGGGAGUAAAGUUAAUACCUUUGCUCAUUGACGUUACCCGCAGAAGAAGCACCGGCUAACUCCGUG